UCACGUUCUCAAGGGAAAAUGGAGAACUCAUCCCUGAGGCUAGUCUCAUGACUACUUGCAACCAUUUUUUAGGAUUAUUUUUGGAUUUAACACUCUUUUGAUUAACAGUACAUGUCAAACAAUUGAUGCUUUUUCUAAAUAGCUUAACUUCCUCGGAAUAUGAUGAUAAAGGAAAACAAUUCCUAUCAAUGCUCAAAACAUUCAGAGAGCAAAAGCGGAAAUUAACGUCCCUUUCACAAAAACCCUUACUACAUGCAACUUGCUUAGUUUUGUCAUUUACGUAUCAGCUGAUUCAAAUCCAAUUGUCAAAUGCACAUUUUAAGCAAAAAAACAAAACCAACAUCAAGGAAUAAGUCUGAAUGGAUAUUAAUAAAAUAAUUUACGCUAUCAUUGAGGCAUUGAAUAGAAGAAUCGAUAUUAUAACUCAUCCCUCUGUUUUAAAAGCACUUACAAAAAUAAAAUGGCUACAUGUGUAACAUCUUCAUUUUAAUUUCUACCUAUUAUUCUUUAGCAUCAUUUUAACGAUUGCAAAUGGAAAUGAAUCUGGAGAUGCCAUACAGCUUAUAUUAGCUCUACAACUGCCAUUGAUUUGCCUAGUGGGAGAUACAGAUGCACUUGAAUAAACACUAGUCGGAUCACACAAUUUACAUUAGCUAGAAACAGAAACAACCGAAGAUGUAAGGAAUUAAUUUCUUGUUGUAGAACACACUAUUUCAGCAAAUCCAAACCAAGAUAUCAUAAGUUCAAUAGUUGAAACAAUUGGCUUUUUACAGCUAAACAAAUUUUACAGCUAAACAAAUUUACAUGGUGGCUAAACAUGGUGGCUUCGUGAAUUCAAAACAAAUCUGUAACAUGAAUAAAUUCAGAUUUUUAAUUAUGAAUUCAACAAAGGAGUCAUAGAUGAGUAUAGCGUACCUUAAACAAAAAUCGACAAAAAAAUGAUCAAAUAAGGUCUAAACUUCAAAGCUGGAGCUCAACUACUAAACGCAGAAUCAGCAGCGAAAUCAUCAACAAUCAACAAAUGAACAGUAAUCCAGUUUUUGAAUUUUUGAAGAACAGAACCUCGGACGGAAUCUCUUGCCGGCGGUCAGAUCUGGCGGAACCAAACGGAGUUCAUGAAGGCUGCCGGAAUUCUAAGGGGUUCUAGUUUAAGAUGGAGGUGGUUCCAUUUAGGUUCUUGUGUAUGUGCUUUAGGUGAUGACGGGAUGAGGAGGAGGGUCGCUUCUCUUUGAAGAUAAAAGGGGCCAUAGAGAGCAGUGAGAUUGAAAGAAAAGAAGAAGAAGGGUCCUCCUUUGAUAUGCGCCGUUUCUCUAUAUUUCUCUAAGGGUCUCCCCAUCUAUCCUUAGGUCUAGCUAGGUUUUAAUUAAAAAAGGGAGUGGUUGGAUCAGGCGGGUCGGGUCGGUUUUUGGGCUUGGGUUUUGGGCAUGUGUUUUGGGCCUGAUUUGGGUACAAGUAUUAGCCCAAUUCAUAUUAAAACCCCUCUUUCAUUCCUUUUCCUUUGUUUUUCUUCUCUUCUUCUUUAAUUAAAAAUCCUAAAAUUAAAAUCCGAGAUUAUCUAAAAAUAUGAAAUUAAACUAACUAAACCAGUUAUAAAAAUUGUAAACAUUACUUAUUCUAAAUUAAAAAGAGAAAAAUCGAUAAAGUAAAAUUAAAAGACAAAAAAUGUAAAAAUGAGCUAUUUUUUGUGAUUUUCGAAUUUCUACAAAAAUAAAAUAACUACUAGUUAAUUCUAAAAUAUAAAAACAAAUCUUAAAUUCAAUGCAUGAUAUUUUUGUAUUUUUUCAUGAUUAAAAUAAAAAUUAAACAUGCACAAAAAUGCAAACAAUUAAUAAAAAUCCUAUAAAAUGGUAAAUAAUUGGAAAAAACCUAUUUUCUUUGAUUUUAUAGGAGAAAUUCAUAUAGGGCAAAAACCACGUGCUCACAGGCGUAUAAAAUUUUUAAUCAAUAUCAAAUCUAUCCACUUUUGUUAUCUCAUUGCUUAUGUUCUAUGUUUCUCUUCUCUAUCAUGUUGUGUGCACAUAUGUGGCAUGAGUUCACUUGGCUAGACUUCUUAUGAUGUUUAUCUGUUUUUGUCUCUUUAAUGAUGCCAAAAUGGGAAAAUUAAUGUGUGUAGUAGAUGAGCAAUAAGGAAGGCGUAAAGUCAUGGGGAACUACAAGUCACAGGGAACUACUUGUGAAACUUGUGUUCUCCUGUUACUUAAUCUGGUUCUCACUACUCUAAAUCCACUUUAUCAAUGUUAAGUUUGUCAUCAUCAAAAAGGAAAAUUAAUAGGUUUUAAAUGUCUUUGCCUUAUGCUUUGAUGAUCUAACAAACUUACUGUUAAGAACCAGAUAGGGAACCUGACACAUUUGGACUACGCUGCAAGAUUAACGGUCUCUAGCUAAAUGUGAACUGCUACAGCUUCAGGAGAUAGGAAACCAAACAAGGACCUGAUACCCUUGUGGUUCCCUCAUAGCAGUACAAAGUCAAUUGGACACAGCUGGAAGUGAUGUCACCGCCUACACUGUUUCUGCCUGCACUGCACUGUUUCCAGUGUCCACUUAUUCCUUGAGCAACUAAAGUGCUUACAUCAUUUCAAGUGAUGUCAUCAAGGUGUAUCAACAAUGAUUUUAUAUCAAAACAUCACUUGAACAUUUCUAUUUCGCAUUCAAGCUUUUUGUAAAACAGAGAAAUCAAUCCUCACGAGCUUGAAGAACAAAGUUAAACGCUACUACGGACCAGUUCCUAAAGUUAGUAUAUUGUUGUCGUUAGUUGAUUUGUAACUUUGUGAUUGUUCUUAUUGUAUCUCCUAAACUGCUUAGUCAGAAGCGUUGAUUAGGAAUCCUCUUGUAAAAUCUGUAAACUCUCUGAGUUUAUGUUGUGACUAGGUUAGUCAUAAGUUAAAGUCUUUGUCACUAGAGAGUAACAAAGUGCUUGUGGUGAGAGUAUCAUAAGUUAGUCAAAGUCUUUGUAACUAGAAUCACAAAGUGGCUUGUAGUGAGAGUGCCACAAGUUAGUUGAGUUGAAUCUUUUGUAAUAGAGUUAUUACAAAGUGGCUUGUAAUAGGUGUUUACAAGUUAGUGAAGUUGAAAGCCUACAAGGUGUAGGUCGUGGUUUUUGUCCCCUACAAAGUGGCUUGUUUUUGUCCCCUAAAGCAAAUACGCAUUUGCAACUUUGUGAGGGCCAGGGAAGUUCAACUAAAUGGCACGCCUCGGAUUCUAAGGAUUAAAACAAAAUUAAUUGAACUAGGGCCAUGCAAUUGUCUUUUUUGUUUGGCACAGUGCGCCUCAACUUAUUCUAAUCAAGAGACUUCUAUAUUAAAUUACGAGGGCCAUACACUGUAUGUGUCACCUAGUAUGGCUCACCUCCAAUUCAUAUAGGGAAUCUAAUUAAUUGAAGAGGAAGACUUAUCAAAGCUUUGGCCUAAGAAAUUGAACUAACUUUAAAUUAACAGAUUAAUCGGGAGAAUGGAUUCUUUUGGGCUCGAGCCACCAGCCCUAUAAAGAGAAGCAACAGAUUUCCAACUCAAACCCAAUCAUGAGCCCAAAUCCUCGGGAAAACUGGGCACCAGCAGGAGGCAGGACUCCAGAUCGAGUCCUUAAACAUGCAAGCAUCGGAUUAUUUAAAGCAGGCCGAGUGAAUCCGAUUCCCAAGUUUUAUAAAGCUAAUUCGAAGCCCACUAUGUCUUUACUUGACAAAUCGAUCCAUUUGGCCCUAAACGACAUUGUACAUAUGACUUAAUUCACAAUUACCUCAAACGAACUCAAUGCUUAAUCCACCCAAUUCAAAUGACCACAAGUUAAUUUAAAAAUAAACUAUGGCUUCUGUUUAUCAUGAAAUCAUAUUGGUAAUAUAAACGUGAAUUGACAAACUGAGCCAGCAUGAAAGCAAACUUGGUUUAAUUUGUGAUUCCUAAUGAUCCAUAUGCUUUCGACUCAAACUUACAAACAGACCUUUGCAUGUUCAACCAAGCCAAACUUUAUUUUCAAUCAAAUACAUAUACUUAAUUAUUAAGCAUCAACGGACAUGCACCAAUUAGAAUAUCAGGCCUAAGACUUCAGUUUCAGGAAUAUAUAAUCACCCUUUUCAAUCGAACACACCUCAACCCUUUAAAAACCCACAUGAUAACUUAAGAGUUGAAAGCAAUAGAGCUUAACCACAUGAAUGAAUACAUAUAUGCUAUUAGAUAUGGAUAGCAUAACCAACAGUCCACAUACACAAAAUGGUCUCAAAUGUUCUGAAUUACUUACACCUCAACAGACUAUUAGACCUCAUGUUUCCCAUUAAGACAGGAUGUAGCAUGGAUUUCCUAAGAAACAAUACGUUACUACUAUAUCAAAAAUGAAUAGGUAAGCUAAUUAUUCUUACACUACAAUACUAACUUCAGAAAUACUAAGGAAAUAACUAACAUUUAUGUUUAAGGGAACAAUAUUUAUUUAUAGAAUCUUCAGGCAAUUACAACAUUCACACUUGCAUAUCAUCUUUAAUAGAGUUAGAGAAUACCUGGAAAGCAAAAUAACAGACGGGGUGAGAGUAGUAGCAGUAAACAACACAGCAUAUGACCUCAGAUUCAAUCUCUUAAAACAGUGAAAUUAACCCAAGAUGAAACCAAUGAAACAGUGUUCAACCAGUAGAAAUUUUAAGCUAAAACUCUUUCCAAGACUCAAAUUCAGAUCACUUUAAACACCAGAAUCAGACACCAUUUCAGAAAUCAAAAACUCAAAAAUCAAAGAAAAUAUUCAAUGGAACAGUGAUUUAUUUUGGAAAUCCAGCCGCUUUUUGUUUUUUCUCUAUUUUUUAUCUCUUAAUCUCUGAAGUUCUUAUCUCCUAAACUCUUCCUUGAAUGGCAAGGAAAUGAGCCUUUAUAGGCAAGGCAAUAGGGCAACAAUAGAGAAAUCAGAUUUUCAUUUCAGCCCUUCCCUAAUUUUCAUUUUAGCUUAACUAACCUUAGUUAAUUAUCAGAUUUGCAAGACAGUCCCCCUUCCUAGCUUCUAGGAAGAUUCCUUUUCAGUUACACUAAAGAUUCCUCAAGCCAAAUUCCUAAACUAACCUCCACACCCUCGACAUUUAACAUUAAAACCAAUAGGGUCAAGCUGACCCAAAUACCCAGCCACCCUGGGUUUUACCAAACCAGUUCUUCCCUUUUUCCUUUGGGCCUCGGAUCAACAAGGCCCAAACCAAAAUCAAACUCAAAAGACUAAUGGGUUAAAUGAAAUUACCCCACCCCCCACAAACUCGGAAUUUACUUAAACAAGAGAGAAACAUAAUGAAAUAAAGACGACAGAACUAAUAAAAUUAAAACAAACAUGAAACAAUAACUCUCAAGUUUUAGGCAUGCAGGCAUAGCUGACUCAGAAUGAGGAAGAAAAUGAUAGAAAGCAGAAGAGAUGGAGCAAACAGGGCAAGACCUGGAACUGAACGACUAAGAGAAACAAAAGAAGGAUCUAAAAUUCCUAUUUGCAAGCGGACGGGCUUGAAAAACCUCAAACGGACUUUGGUUUGACCCAAAAUCGGCAUCAAUCGAGUGUUCUCGUCGAGAACAAGUGACCAAUGACAAUUUCAGCCCUAAUCGUUCUCUGAAGCUCGAAGAUUUGAGGAGAUUUUAUCUUUCUUCUUUACCUUCUUUAAGAUA
Molecule: long non-coding RNA, 5612 nt
Filed under: Nicotiana tabacum (common tobacco)
Lineage: Eukaryota; Viridiplantae; Streptophyta; Magnoliopsida; Solanales; Solanaceae
Description: long non-coding RNA (NTAB_LNC014057)
Source: RNAcentral